CCUCAUUAAAGUCCAGUAGAUCACUUCCUACUCAUCACUACAUCCUGUAUCUGGUCCUCAUUAAAGUCCAGUAGAUCACUUCCUACUCAUCACUACAUCCUGUAUCUGGUCCUCAUUAAAGUCCCGUAGAUCACUUCCUUAUUCACUCUUUUUGUUUGGUUUAUAAAGCUCUACUAUACAUGGUGGGUUAACUCUGAGGUUCCUAGGGUCGCCACCAAAUUAGGAGAAUCCGCUUUUAAUUUUAAUGUGCCUCACUGCAGAACGAAUAACAAUAGGAUAUUCUGGUGCAGUUUAGUGUGUUGGGGACCUAGUAGCUGAGGAAAGGAACGUUGUUGUGCUUUUAAAAAAAAACAUUUUAUAAGGCAUUGUAUUGAUUACUGUUUGGUUUCACAUCGUUUUUUUAUUUAUUGUUGUAGUACUGUAAAUCAGGGCACCCUGGGGGAUGACACCCUGGUCUCAUUGGUUUUCCCCUGAAUAAAUGAAAAAAAAAAAAAAAUGACAGAUCUGGAUUUAUGGUGGUGUGUGGGUCUGGCUGGUUGCCCAGGCGACUGACGACAGUAGACCUAUCCCUGACCUGCAGAUCUUUAGGCAUAGUGGAGACAGGACUCCACCUGCUGGUAAGAACCUAUUAUCAGAAUCUUCAUCCAUCCACUCCUCAUCAUCACCUCUCAAGCAAGGUUCAUGUGUAGUGGCAUGAUUUAAGCUACUGAUAUUGAAGGCGUAACCCGGGACUCGAUCCCGGGUCCAGCGACUAUCAAGCCAACACAUGAAAUCGCUACAUUAUAUCGGUUAACUCUGACACAACACCUUAAGACAUAGCCCACACAUGAACAAUGUAACCACGGACGUGGAGGGGGAAAAAAAAGACUGAUCCUAAAACAUAAAUUGACAGAUUUAAAUCAUCAAGGCACAACAAUCAUUGUCAGCUGAAAGGUCAAAAGGUCAGUUGAUAGAUGAGGUAGAACAACACGAGAGGCAUCUAUGGACAAUAUCGUCUCUGUCCCAAAUGGCACCAAAUCGAUUCCCUAUAUAGUGCACUACUUUUAACCAGGGCCUAUAGGGCUUUGGUCAAAUGUAGUGCACUAGGUAGGGAAUAGGGUGGCAUUUAUGGGUCUACCAUCCAUCAUUACCCAUAAUGCUUCAGGAAGGUUCUGUUUUUGACAAUAACUAUAAUGAUACAGUCUCCAGUCCACCAGUACAGGUAUUGUGAUACAGUCCACCAGUACAGGUAUUGUGAUAGUCUCCAGUCCACUAGUACAGGUAUUGUGAUACAGUCCACUAGUACAGGUAUUGUGAUACAGUCCACCAGUACAGGUAUUGUGAUACAGUCCACUAGUACAGGUAUUGUGAUACAGUCCACUAGUACAGGUAUUGUGAUACAGUCCACUAGUACAGGUAUUGUGAUACAGUCCACUAGUACAGGUAUUGUGAUACAGUCCACUAGUACAGGUAUUGUGAUACAGUCCACUAGUACAGGUAUUGUGAUACAGUCUCCAGUCCACCAGUACAGGUAUUGUGAUACAGUCCACUAGUACAGGUUUUUUUUUAACCUAGGAAUAUAGUGUUCUCUGCAGUGUGUUCUCUGCUGUCUGUGCAGUGUGUUCUCUGCUGUCUGUGCAGUGUGUUCUCUGCUGUCUGUGCUGUGCAGUGUGUUCUCUGCUGUCUGUGCAGUGUGUUCUCUGCUGUCUGUGCUGUGCAGUGUGUUCUCUGCAGUCUGUGCAGUGUGUUCUCUGCUUUCUGUUCUGUGCUGUGUGUUCUCUGCUGUCUGUGCUGUGCAGUGUGUUCUCUGCAGUGUGUUCUCUGC
Molecule: long non-coding RNA, 1804 nt
Organism: Oncorhynchus tshawytscha (Chinook salmon)
Lineage: Eukaryota; Metazoa; Chordata; Actinopteri; Salmoniformes; Salmonidae
Source: Ensembl